Non-coding RNA from Chrysemys picta bellii (western painted turtle), 7447 nucleotides. NCBI's taxonomy places the organism in Eukaryota, Metazoa, Chordata, Testudines, Emydidae. The record is from RefSeq and is a predicted model, not a curated record.
GAGGGAAAAGAAGUCACGCCUCAGAGUCUCAAGCCCUCAUGUGAUGGAAAGCGAGCCAGAGCAACGAAACCGUGAGCAUUGUUGAUGCCACGCAAAAGCCGUCCUACUGGGAGGGGAACGGCCGCCACUCUCAGUGAGAUAAGUGUCUGGUUUGGUGAUUGCUGUGUUAACAGCCCACCUUGCUCCUGCUAGGGAUGCCACAUGAGCUGGGGCUGGGUUUGUAAGAAAAUGUUCUUGACUAGCUGUGGUUAUGAGGGGAGCAAGGUCCUCAUUUUCAGGGUCUGCUCAUUUCUCUGGUCAGGAACGGUGUCUCCUCUGCAGCAGAAGGUUGCAUCCAGGAGGAUGACUCCACGUGGUGAGUGCUUGCUUUCCUCCGAUGUUUCCUUCUCUCUCUCUCUCUCUCUCUUCUCUAGUACGUUGGCCAACACACAACCUCUAGCUCUGUCUGUCCUUGCCUUUCCUCGUGUUGUCUCCCUUCAUAAGACACGGGCAGGCGUGCUACGUGUGCAUCCCCACAGGCUUUGUCUCGGGAGCCAUGGAGAAGUAGGAGGGGACAAAAAUCAUGCAGGGGAGUGGGUGCGAAAGUGGAGCGGUGACUGUCGGUGUGAACUCGGUCUCUGUUCAUCGAGUGGGGCUGAUGUAGAUGGGACUGGAGAGGGAGGCAGGGAUGAGGGCAAGACUCGACGCACCAAUAGAGCUCUGUGUAGUGAUAGCUCUUGCUUGACUUUUAGUUUGCAGAGGAAUCAUCCAGGAGCUCUAGCCAGACAAGAAUAUGGCAGAAGUGGACCUGAGCAGCCUGGACAUCCUUCUAAGGAGACAUGAAUAGUCCUCAUGUUUCUGCCUUCUGCAUCACUGGCUGUGAGUAAGAGGUCAGUGCUUUUGAAUUCCUCAUCUGUACUCACUGUAGUUUUCUUCACAGGCCGUGUGCUUCCUCGUUGGGUAUGAGGCUCUGGGAUUAAGGCUGGGGAAGGGACAAGAAUCUCCUGAGGAAAGUUUAGUACCAAGGAAAACGAAGUCACGCGUCAGAGUCUGCUGCUCUCAUGCGAUGGAAAGCGAGCAAGAGCAUUGAGACUCUGAGCAUUGUUGAUGCCACACAAAAGCUGUCCAUCUGGGAGCUGAGGAGACGCCGCUAUCAGUGAAAUAAGUGUCUGGUUUGGUGAGGGCUCUGUUUACGCCCAACCUGAGUCCAGGAUGGGAAGCCCACUAAGUUAGGGCUGGGUUUGUAUGAAAAGGUUCCUGACUAACUGUGGUUACGAGGGGGAAAAGGUCCCUAUUUUCAGAGGUUGCUCAUUUCUCUGGUCAGGAACAGUAUCUCCUCCGCAGCGGAAAGUUGGAUUCAGGAGGAUGACUCCAGGUGGUCAGUUGCUUACCUUCCUGCCAUUUUUUUUCCUUCUCUCUCUCUCUUCUCUAGUGUGUUGGCCAACUUUCUCACUCUCUUUUCUCUCUGUUCCUCGUACCGUCUCCUUUCGUAGGAGACGGGUAGGCUUGCUAGGUGUGCAUCCCCGCAGGCCAGGUUUCGGGAGCCAUGGAAAAGUAGGAGGGGAUGAAAAUCAUGCAGGGCUGUGUCUGUUGGUGUUUACUCGGUCUCUGUUCAUCGAGCGGGGCUGAUGUAGAUGGGACUGGAGAGGGAGGCAGGGCUGAGAGCAAGAUUUCCAGCACCAAUAGAGCUCUGUGUAGUGAUAGUUUUUGCUUGGCUUUAUUAGUUUGCAGAGGAAUCGUCCAGGAGCCCUAGCCGCACAAGAAUAUGGUGGAAGUGGACCUGCGCAGCCUGGACAUCCUUCUAAGGAGACAUAAAUAGUCCUCAUGUUUCUGCCUUCUGCAUUGCUGGCUAUGAGUAAGAGGUUUAGUACCAAGGAAAACGAAGUCACGCUUCAGAGUCUACUGCACUCAUGCGAUGGAAAGCGAGCAAGAGCAUUGAGACUCUGAGCAUUGUUGAUGCCCACAAAAGCCGUCCAUCUGGGAGCUGAGGAGAUGCUGCUAUCAGUGAGAUAAGUAUCUGGUUUGGUGAGGGCUCUGUUUACGCCCAACCUGAGUCCAGGAUGGGAAGCCCACUAAGUUAGGGCUGGGUUUGUAUGAAAAGGUUCCUGACUAACUGGUUACGAGGGGGAAAAGGUCCCUAUUUUCAGAGGUUGCUCAUUUCUCUGGUCAGGAACAGUGUCUCCUCCGCAGCGGAAGGUUGGAUUCAGGGGGAUGACUCCAGGUGGUCAGUUGCUUACCUUCCUGCCAUUUUUUUUCCGUUCUCUCUCUCUCUCUUCUCUUGUGUGUUGGCCAACUUUCUCACUCUUUCCUCUCAUGUCCUUGUGCCAUCUCCCUUCGUACGACAUGGGCAUGCGUGCUAGCUGUGCAUCCCCACAGGCCAGGUCUUGGGAGCCAUGGAGAAGUAGGAGGGGACGAAAACCAUGCAGGGUUGUCUGUUGGUGUUAACUCGGUCUCUGUUCAUCGAGUGGGGCUGAUGUAGAUGGGAUUGGAGAGGGAGGCCAGGAUGAGGGCAAGAUUUGAAGCAACAAAUAGAGCUUUAAGUAGUGAUGGCUCAUGCUUGGCUUUUGCAGAUGCGCUUCCAGAGGAAUUUUCCAAGAGCCCUAUCCUGAGGAGAAAGUGGCAGAAGUGAACAUGAGCAGACUGGACAUCCUUGUAAGCAGACAUGAACAGUCCUCCGCUUUCUGACUCCCGCAUUACUGGCUGACCGAGGGAAAAGAAGUCACGCCUCAGAGUCUCAAGCCCUCAUGUGAUGGAAAGCGAGCCAGAGCAACGAAACCGUGAGCAUUGUUGAUGCCACGCAAAAGCCGUCCUACUGGGAGGGGAACGGCUGCCACUCGCAGUGAGAUAAGUGUCUGGUUUGGUGAUUGCUGUGUUAACAGCCCACCUUGCUCCUGCUAGGGAUGCCACAUGAGCUGGGGCUGGGUUUGUAAGAAAAUGUUCUUGACUAGCUGUGGUUAUGAGGGGAGCAAGGUCCUCAUUUUCAGGGUCUGCUCAUUUCUCUGGUCAGGAGUGGUGUCUGCUAUGCAGCAGAAGGUUGCAUCUAGGAGGAUGACUCCAGGUGGUGAGUUGCUUGCCUUCCUCCCAUGUCUUUCUAUCUGUCUGUCUCUCUCUCUUCUCUAAUGUGUUGGCCAACUUUCUCACUGACUCUCCUCUCCUCUCCUCUCCUCUCCUCUCCUCUCCUCUCCUUGUGCCGUCUCCCUUCGUAGGACACGGACAGGCAUGCUAGGUGUGCAUCCUAGCCACGUCUCUGGAGCCAUGAAGAAGUAGGAGCAGACGAAAACCAUGUGGGGCAGUGAGCGCUAAAGUGGAGCUGUGACUGUCUGUGUUUACUCGGUCUCUGUUCAUCCAGUGGGGCUGAUGUAGAUGGGACUGGAGAGGGAGGCAGGGAUGAGGGCAAGAUUUCCAGCACCAAUAGAGCUCUGUGUAGUGAUAGUUCUUGCUUGACUUUAUUAGUUUGCAGAGGAAUCAUCCAGGAGCUCUAGCCAGACAAGAAUAUGGCAGAAGUGGACCUGAGCAGCCUGGACAUCCUUCUAAGGAGACAUGAAUAGUCCUCAUGUUUCUGCCUUCUGCAUCGCUGGCUCUGAGUAAGAGGUCAGUGCUUUUGAAUUCCUCAUCUGUACUCACUGUAGUUUUCUUCACAGGCCGUGUGCUUCCUCGUUGGGUAUGAGGCUCUGGGAUUAAGGCUGGGGAAGGGACAAGAAUCUCCUGAGGAAAGUGAGUAUUUUGAGUGCCGUUACAAUGGGUACCUUCUAGUUGCAGUUGUAACAUAGUAAUGGGAGAUGGGUUGAGGAUGGAGAUGUGGGAUAAGGGAGAUGUGAAAUGAAGGAGACUACGCGACAUUGCAGAUGAAGAUGCUAAUUUUUUUUGGUUCCUGCCUCCCGCUGGGUUUAGUACCAAGGAAAACGAAGUCACGCGUCAGAGUCUGCUGCUCUCAUGCGAUGGAAAGCGAGCAAGAGCAUUGAGACUCUGAGCAUUGUUGAUGCCACACAAAAGCUGUCCAUCUGGGAGCUGAGGAGACGCCGCUAUCAGUGAAAUAAGUGUCUGGUUUGGUGAGGGCUCUGUUUACGCCCAACCUGAGUCCAGGAUGGGAAGCCCACUAAGUUAGGGCUGGGUUUGUAUGAAAAGGUUCCUGACUAACUGUGGUUACGAGGGGGAAAAGGUCCCUAUUUUCAGAGGUUGCUCAUUUCUCUGGUCAGGAACAGUAUCUCCUCCGCAGCGGAAAGUUGGAUUCAGGACGAUGACUCCAGGUGGUCAGUUGCUUACCUUCCUGCCAUUUUUUUUCCUUCUCUCUCUCUCUUCUCUAGUGUGUUGGCCAACUUUCUCACUCUCUUUUCUCUCUGUUCCUCGUGCCGUCUCCCUUCGUAGGAGACGGGUAGGCUUGCUAGGUGUGCAUCCCCGCAGGCCAGGUUUCGGGAGCCAUGGAAAAGUAGGAGGGGAUGAAAAUCAUGCAGGGCUGUGUCUGUUGGUGUUAACUCGGUCUCUGUUCAUCGAGCGGGGCUGAUAUAGAUGGGAUUGGAGAGGGAGGCCAGGAUGAGGGCAAGUUUUGAAGCGACAUAUAGAGCUUUAAGUAGUGAUGGCUCAUGCUUGGCUUUUGCAGCUGCACUUCCAGAGGAAUUUUCCAAGAGCCCCAGCCCGAGGAGAAAGUGGCAGAAUUGGACAUGAGCAGACUGGACAUCCUUGUCAGCCGACAUGAACUGUCCUCAGCUUUCUGACUGCCGCAUAACUGGCUGCGAGUAAGCGGUUUAGUAUCGAGGGAAAAGAAAUCAAACGUCAGAGUUUACUCCGCUCAUUGGAUGGAAAGCGAGCGAGAGCCGUGAGCCCACGAGCAUUGUUGAUGCAAGUCAGGAGCCGUCCAGUUGGCAGUGGAGCAGUCGCUACUGUCAGUGAGAUAAGUGUGUGGUUUGGUGAGGGCUCUGCGUAGGGCCUUCCUGGCUCUAGGUAGGGAUGCCCCAUUAGCUGGGGCUGGGUUUGUAAGAAAUGGUUCCUGACCAGCUGUGGUUAUGAGAGAGACAAGGUCCCCAUUUUCAGGGACUGCUCAUUUCUCUGGCCAGGAGCGGUGUGUCCUCGGCAGCGGAAUGUUGCAUCCAGGAGGAUGACUCCAGAUGGUGAGUGGCUUGCCUUCCUCCCAUGUCUUUUUAUCUGUCUGUCUCUCUCUCUCUUCUCUAGUACGUUGGCCAACACACACCCUCUAUCUCUCUGUGUCUGUCCUUGCCUUUCCUUGUUCUGCCUCCCUUCGUAGGACACAGGCAGGUGUGCUAGGUGUGCAUCCCCAGAGGCCAGGUCUCGGGAGCCAUGGAGAAGUUGGAGCGGACGAAAAGCAUGCGUGGCAGUGGGCGCUAAAGUGGAGCUGUGACUGUCUGUGUUUACUCGGUCUCUGUUCAUCGAGUGGGGCUCAUGUAGAUGGGACUGGAGACGGAGGCAGGGAUGAGGGCACAAUUCAACGCACCAAUAUAGCUCUGUGUAGUGAGAGUUCUUGCUUGGCUUUAUUAGUUUGCAGAGGAAUCGUCCAGGAGCCGUAGCCGGACAAGAAUAUGGCAGAAGUGGACCUGAGCAGCCUGGACAUGCUUCUAAGGAGACGUGAAUAGUUGUCAUGUUUCUGCCUUUUGGAUCGCUGGCUGUGAGUCAGAGGUUUAGUACCAAGGAAAACGAAGUCAAGCAUCAGUCUACUGUCCUCAUGCGAUGGAAAGCGAGCCAGAGCAUCGAGACUCUGAGCAUUGUUGAUCCCACGCAAAAGCUGUCCCAUCUGGGAGCCUAGCAGAUGCUGCUGAUAGUGAGAUAAGUGUCUGGUUUGGUGAGGGCUCUGCUCAGACUCCACCUGAGUCCAGGUUGGGAAGCCUAGUACAGUAGGGCUGGGUUUGUAUGAAAAGGUUCCUGACUAACUGUGGUUACGAGGGAGAAAAGGUCCCUAUUUUCAGAGGUUGCUCAUUUCUCUGGUCAGGAACUGUCUCUCCUCUGCAGCAGAAGGUUACCUCCAGGAGAAUAACUCCAGGUGCUUCCUUUCCUCCCAUUUUCUUCUCUCUCUCUCUCUCUCUUCUCUAGUAUGUUGGCCAACACACUCUCUCUCCUCUCCUCUCCUCUCCUCUCCUCUCCUCUCCUCUCCUCUCCUCUCCUCUCCUCAUUCCCGUUUGUAGAACACUGGUUGGUGUGCAUCCCCACAGGCCAGGUCUCGGGAUCCAUGGAGAAGUAGGAGUGGAAGAAAAUCAUGCAGGGUUGUGGGCGCUAAAGUCGAGCUGUGACUGUCGGUGAUAACUCGGUCUCUGUCCAUCGAAUGGGGCCGAGGUAGAUGGGAUUGGAGAGGGAGGCCAGGAUGAGGGCAAGAUUUGAAGCACCAGUAGAGCUUUGUGUAGUGAUGGCUCAUGUUUGGCUUUUGCAGCUGCGCUUCCAGGGGAAUUUUCCAGGAGCCCCAGCCCGAGGAGAAAGUGGCAGAAGUGGACAUGAGUGGACAGACUGGACAGCCUUGUAAGCAGACAUGAACUGUCCUCCGUUUUCUGACUUCCGCAUAACUGGCUUACCGAGGGAAAAGAAAUCAAACGUCAGAGAUUACUCCCCUCGUCGGAUGGAAAGCGAGUGAGAGCGGUGAGCCUGCCAGCAUUGUUGAUGCAAGUCAGGAAUCGACCAUUUGGCAGUGGAGCUGUCGCUACUGUCAGUGAGAUAAGUGUCUGGUUUGGUGAGGGCUCCAGGUAGGGACGCCCCGUUAGCUGGGGCUGGGUUUGUAAGAAAUUGUUCCUGACCAGCUGAGCUUACGAGAGACAAGGCCCCCAUUUUCAGGGUCUGCUCAUUUCUCUGGCCAGGAGCGGUGUCUUCUACGCAGCGGAAGGUUGCAUCUAGGAGGAUGACUCCAGAUGGUGAGUUGCUUGCCUUCCUCCCAUUUUCUCUCUCUCUCUCUCUCUCUCUCUCUUCUCUGGUGUGUUGGCCAACUUUCUCACUCUCCUCUCCUCUCCUCGUGCCAUCUCUCUUCGUAGGACACGGGCAGGCGUGCUACGUGUGAAUCCCCACAGGCUAUGUCUCGGGAGCCAUGGAGAAGUAGGAGGGGAUGAAAAUCAUGCAGGGCUGUGAUUGUCGAUGUUAACUCGGUCUCUGUCCAUCGAGUGGGGCCAACGUAGAUGGCAUUGGAGAGGGAGACUAGGAUGAGGCCAAGCUCUGAAGCACCAAUAGAGCUUUGUGCAGUGAUGGCUCAUGUUUGGCUUUUGCAGCUGCGCUUUUCCAGGAGCCCGAUCUUGAGGAGAAAGUGACAGAAGUGGACAGACUGGACAUCCUUGUAAGCCGACAUGAACAGUCCUCAGCUUUCUGACUCCCGCAUAACUGGCUGUGAGUAAGCGGUCAGUGCUUUGAAUUCCUCGUCUGUGCUCGCUAUAGUAUUCUUCACAGGCCGUGUGCUUCCUCGUUGGGUACGGGACUCUGUGAGAUUACGGCUGGGUUGGGGCCAGAGUCUGCUGUGCAGAAUGAUUAUUUCGGGUGCUGUUGCAAG